RNAcentral lists this ribosomal RNA (253 nucleotides) under uncultured prokaryote. RNAcentral describes it as "partial 16S ribosomal RNA". It matches the Rfam family "Bacterial small subunit ribosomal RNA", at positions 524 to 776 of the family's 1533-position model. The record is from RNAcentral.
UACGGAGGGUGCAAGCGUUGUUCGGAAUUACUGGGCGUAAAGCGCGCGUAGGCGGUUUUAUAUGUCAGAUGUGAAAGUCCACGGCUCAACCAUGGAAGUGCAUUUGAAACUGUAGAACUUGAGUACUGGAGGGGGUGGUGGAAUUCCCGGUGUAGAGGUGAAAUUCGUAGAUAUCGGGAGGAAUACCGGUGGCGAAGGCGACCACCUGGCCAGAUACUGACGCUGAGGUGCGAAAGCGUGGGGAGCAAACAGG